This 2335-nucleotide long non-coding RNA is filed under the name Bemisia tabaci. Its description in RNAcentral is "lncRNA ENSSSA1NGG009057". Lineage: Eukaryota; Metazoa; Arthropoda; Insecta; Hemiptera; Aleyrodidae. The record is from RNAcentral.
AUUUUCUCUCUAUCUAUUGUUAGCAUAGUGGAAGCAUUUCGUAGGUUCAUUGUCUCAAUGUAUUUGUUUACUAUGUGCUGAUAUUUAUGCAUAUUGUAAAAUAUUAUUUGUGCUCAAAGAGACUGAUUAAAAAUUUCUCUGAAAGUGUUACAUCAAGGGAGCAAGAUUAGACUAACUUUUUGGCUUCGCUUGAAUAGUUUAAAUUUUAUAACUGAGGGAGUAGGAGUGCCGCUGUCACUUUCUUACAACAUUUUAACUCUUUACCGUUUAAGAGGAGAGUUUUUACAACUAGAAUAUUUGCACUACUAUUAUAAUGAGAAGCAGAUGUAUGUCUCCAAAUACUUGACCAAAAAAAAUCAUAUCAGAUCUUUUUUAAUUAGUUUUACUUACAAAAUCAGCAAAUGCCCCUUGUAUACUAAUCAUCUACCGUUCUUACCCUUUUGUAUUACUUCUUUGAUCUGAUUUAAUUAUAUCGUUUUAAUUUAAUGUUUAUAACGGCAGAAGCAUUUUCCUCUGGUACCAUUAGUCUCUUGUUCUGUCGAUUUUUAUUUAUUUGUAAAUCACAAGGUCUCUAAUGAUGUAAUUGUUCUCUAACAUUUUCUGGAAAAUUUAGUUUACUUUCAAUGUGCCUUAGACUGUUGUAAAUUGCCGUCUCUUAGCCACAUGUUCGCUCAUGAUACCUGCUAGAGCUCUCGCACGCCAUCUUAUGGCGAAAGAGUUUCUACAGGUGUAAUUUAAAGAAAUAACUGGUCACAAUAAAAACCUUAGAGUAUCUGCAUUUUGAGCUUUGUCCCCCAGGUUUUAAAUCUAAUCAAGCCACAUGUUCACAAUUUAAUAAUGUUGCUGGCAAUAUCUGGCCAGUGUUAGGAAAAGAUAUCAAAUUGUAUUUGACGAGGGGAAAACAACUCUUUCAGAAAACCGAAGGUCUAUUUUUGCAAUGAGCCAAUUUUUGUUUCCCAAAAAAAAUUGUUUCCUUCUUUCCCAAUGUUAACCAAGCGCUGCCAUUUUCUCAGUCAAAAUCAAUCCUGCCAAGUGUCUGGAUGAUCGCUAAUUAUUGAAUUAUUUAAUUUCAGAGAAACUUUAGCAGAAAGUAUCAUAAAAUACAUGAGUCUCUGAAGGCUUGUUCCUUGUUUCCUCUGUCUCAAACCCAUUAUAAUGUUUUUUCCCCGUACCAAGUCAUUACUUAAUGUAUAUAAUUCUAAUCUGAAGAGAUUAUCAUUGGAUGCACAAAUAGACAUUUUCUCAAGUUUUUAGAAAUGAUAACAAUCCCUUUUCUUCAAAAAGUGAAAUUUAACAAGUAAUUUGUAACAUUUCUUCACACCUUAAUGCAUGUUAUUAUCGUUUCAUGAUUGAUCUUGAAUAUUUAGGUAAAUACCUUAUGAAUUUGUUGCAAUAUUUGUAUUUUAGGUACAGUUAAUUUUUGUAAUUGUUUUUAUUCUUAACAAAAAUUUUAAGUAUCUGAAAAGAGUGUACAAUAAAAUAACCUAUUUUUUAUUCUUGUGAUUCUUAAUUUUCCUUAAUCUUGAAGAGUAACAUCGACAAUUGACAUAAUUUGUAUGUGUACAUAUCAGGGUUUUUUCCUGUGUUCAAAAUCAUUGAGAAGCCCUUGUUGCUGUCUCUCUUGUUUCCGUUCAAAAUUUUAUUUUGAAUGUGGUUUACAACAAUUAAAUGUCAUCAUGUAUUCUUUAAACUCGAAGUUUUUAUUUAGGUAAGUAAUUUCCUAAAAAUACUUCACUGAUUUUUCUUUCUUCGUCUUUUUUUAAUCAAGAGAAGUUGCAAACCUUUUUGUAGUUUCAACGAAUUAUUAGAAGCAGCCGUGCAGAAUGGCUUAGAGUCAAACGCUGAACCAAAUAGGUGCUAGACACUAAGAAGCUCGCUGUCACAGCUUAUUCCAGCUCCAAACCAAUUUUGGCUGAUGGUGUGUCAACUGAAAAUUCUAGUUUGGACGACUACAAGAACUGCUUGGUCAUGAAGUUUUCAGUCAGAUUCAUGAGACACGAUAUCAUUGCCAGUGAUGUAGCCAAAAAAAAAAGGACAAACGCCAUUUUCAUGGUUUUUAGAAAUUUGUUAAUCCAUCCGCACAAGGGAAAUUUUUACCAUGGACACAUGAAACAUUUCUGACUAUGCCUCAGAUUACUGAUGUUCUUUCCCAAAUAAAGAGCAGAAAUUCAUACGAUGUUUUUCAAGCCAUCACCCUAGUAGCAAUAAAAGUCCCAGAACUUUUGAAAAACUUGUUAAUUUGAAAAGAUACCUAGGUAAGUCAGAAAGACUGUGCGACAUAUCACGAAGAAAAGAACUCUAUAGUUUAGGUAUAUUUUCGUUAGUCAAAUUUAAC